UACGUAGGGUGCGAGCGUUGUCCGGAAUUAUUGGGCGUAAAGAGCUUGUAGGCGGUUUGUCGCGUCUGCCGUGAAAAUCCGGGGCUCAACCCCGGACUUGCGGUGGGUACGGGCAGACUAGAGUGUGGUAGGGGAGACUGGAAUUCCUGGUGUAGCGGUGAAAUGCGCAGAUAUCAGGAGGAACACCGGUGGCGAAGGCGCCGCUCUGGGCCGAAACUGACGCUGAGGAGCGAAAGCGUGGGGAGCAAACAGG
This 253-nucleotide ribosomal RNA is filed under the name uncultured bacterium. Its description in RNAcentral is "partial 16S ribosomal RNA". It matches the Rfam family "Bacterial small subunit ribosomal RNA", at positions 524 to 776 of the family's 1533-position model. The record is from RNAcentral.